CGCACAUUGCGCCCUUUGGUAUUCCGAAGGGCAUGCCUGUUCGAGCGUCAUUAUCAACCUUCAAGCCUGGCUUGCGAUUGGGUCCUGUUGGGGAUAUCCCUCGACAGACUCGAAAGACAAUGUCCGAGCCCGUGGGGACCUGGAUGCAGCGAGCUUUGCAGCACGCAUCUCAGCGAUCCUCCGGCUCGGUCUGAACCUUGUUUCUCCAUGGUUGACCUCGGAUCAGGUAGGGAUACCCGCUGAACUUAA
RNAcentral lists this unclassified non-coding RNA (249 nucleotides) under Pyrenula anomala. RNAcentral's name for it is "partial contains 5.8S ribosomal RNA, internal transcribed spacer 2, and large subunit ribosomal RNA". The record is from RNAcentral. Lineage: Eukaryota; Fungi; Ascomycota; Eurotiomycetes; Pyrenulales; Pyrenulaceae.